CAGGCUAUAGUUUAAUUAAAAAUGUUCGCUUUGGGAGCGUAGGACACCCUUAUGGGUUAGCCUGA
RNAcentral lists this transfer RNA (65 nucleotides) under Raeta pulchella. Its description in RNAcentral is "tRNA-Pro". The record is from RNAcentral. Lineage: Eukaryota; Metazoa; Mollusca; Bivalvia; Venerida; Anatinellidae.